GAGUUUGAUUCUGGCUCAGAUGAACGCUAGCGGUGUGCCUAAUGCAUGCAAGUCGAACGAUAACCUUUGGACUCGUCUGAACGGAACAGUGGCGGACGGGUGAGUAACACGUACGUGACCUGCCCCAGAGAGGGGGACAACCAUUGGAAACGAUGACUAAUACCCCGGAUGUUACACUUUUUACAAUGAUGUGACUAAAGCUCCGGCACUCUGGGAGGGGCCUGCCGCCCAUCAGCUUGUUGGUAGGGUAACGGCCUACCAAGGCAAAAACAUGGUAGGGGGCGUGAGAGCGUGACCCCCCACACUGGUACUGAGACACGGACAACAUACCUGCGGGUAACGCCACCAAGGAGUAUUGCGCACUGUGCGAAAGCUUGACACACCACCACCCCGUGUAGGAUAAGUGUGUUCGGAUUGUAGACUCCUGUUCUGAUUAAAGAGAAAAGACUGUACUUCAUGACUAAGUCUCGGCUCACUACGUGCCAGCACCCGCGGUAUAACGUGCCGACGCACGCGUUAUCCACGAAUUACUGCGGCGUAUAUCGCGUGUACGUGGAUGCUUAAGUCUGCACGUGAAAGCUCCUGGCUCAACUAGUGAGAGGCCCG
Molecule: ribosomal RNA, 606 nt
Filed under: uncultured bacterium
Lineage: Bacteria
Description: bacterial SSU rRNA
Rfam family: Bacterial small subunit ribosomal RNA
Source: RNAcentral